Molecule: ribosomal RNA, 431 nt
Filed under: Loligo vulgaris
Lineage: Eukaryota; Metazoa; Mollusca; Cephalopoda; Myopsida; Loliginidae
Description: partial 16S ribosomal RNA
Source: RNAcentral
UGCGGUAUUUUAACUGUACUAAGGUAGCAUAAUAAUUUGCCUUAUAAUUUGAGGCUAGAAUGAAUGGUUUGACGAAGGUUAAUCUGUCUCUAUUUUAUUUUUUAGAAAUUAAUUUUCAUAGUGAAAAAGCUUGAAUUUUUUAAAGGGACGAGAAGACCCUACUGAGCUUGUAAUUUUAUUAUUAUUGUUAUUUUUAUUGGAGCAGUAAUAUAUAAAUUUUAAUUGGGGUGAUUAAGGAAUAAAAUAAAUAUAUUUAGUAACUUCCUUAUGAAGAAUAUUGUUAGAUGAAGUAACCAAUAAAGUUACAUGAUUAUUGUAAUAAAUAUUGCUUAUAAUAUAGUUACCAUAGGGAUAACAGCGUAAUUUAUUUAGAGAGUUCUUAUUGAAAAAUGAGAUUGCGACCUCGAUGUUGGAUUAAAGUAACCUUAAGG